This 217-nucleotide ribosomal RNA is filed under the name uncultured prokaryote. Its description in RNAcentral is "partial 16S ribosomal RNA". It matches the Rfam family "Bacterial small subunit ribosomal RNA", at positions 525 to 741 of the family's 1533-position model. The record is from RNAcentral.
ACGGAGGGUGCGAGCGUUGUCCGGAAUCAUUGGGCGUAAAGGGCGCGUAGGUGGCCCGCUCAGCGUGCGGUGAAAGCCUGGGGCUCAACCCCGGGUCGGCCGUGCGAACUGGUGGGCUGGAGCACUGUAGAGGCAGGCGGAAUUCCGGGUGUAGCGGUGGAAUGCGUAGAGAUCCGGAAGAACACCGGUGGCGAAGGCGGCCUGCUGGGCAGUUGCU